Non-coding RNA from Parasteatoda tepidariorum (common house spider), 221 nucleotides. Lineage: Eukaryota; Metazoa; Arthropoda; Arachnida; Araneae; Theridiidae. The record is from RefSeq and is a predicted model, not a curated record.
AGUUUGAUAUGCGAACAAAGCCAUGGAGAGAAGACCGCAAUUCUUUGAUUAACCUGUUGAAGAGUUUAGUUGGGAAGCCUGAAAAAGUUUCGAAUAAGAAAAAAAGUUUUGAAGAAAAGCUCUCAUCUUUGAGCCUUUCAUUGGGUUUUCCAAACAAAUUGUUUUUAAAGUUUCUAAUAUCUCGAGGACAAUAUGCAGUGCAACAAAGAGAAUUAUCAAAG